AAACAAUAUUUGGACGGCCAUGAUUUAACGACAUACGCCCUUUCUCCUCAGUAUCUUUACCUUCCCGUCGACCGCCGACCGUCGUAAACCGUUAACCAAGCCGACCUCCUUUUCUCUAUCCCGCACCUCAUAAAAAACCCCUUCCAUUCUGCAGAAAGGAGGAGAGAGAAAACAUACAUAGCUCGCAAAAAUGGAAGCAAGGAAAGUCAUUGUUUCUGCUCUUUAGUUCGCUUGCUCUGAUUACAUUUCUCUCAAUCUCUCUUCCGCUGAAAGGUGCAAGAUGUUCCCAAACUUUGGCGAGAACGCUUCCAAGCCCACUAUUCACAUCUACGGUGUUGCUCCCAAGAUCUCGGGUCAAAAGCUUACCCGUUACAAAAAAUUUGAAGUCGAUUUGGACUUUUUACCAUAUCAGUCGAACUUGUCGGUACCAAAAAUGCCAUCAAGAUUCAAGAGACGUGUCUAUAUUUGUCUACAAAAGCGCAUUUGAAAGUUGCUAACUUCACUGUGAAAUUGUUUUAUCAAAGAGUCGACUGUAUAUUUGGCUGAUAUUCAAUAUUACAAUUUCAAAUUCUUCAUCAUAGAAUGUCUAGUCAUUGUUCAUUUGUAUGUUGGUUAUAAUUUCGUUAGUAAUACUAAAUGUAAUUACGUACUAUAACUUUGUAAUGUUACUAUGUAAUGACGUUAUGUUUUCUAUA
Molecule: long non-coding RNA, 695 nt
Organism: Beta vulgaris subsp. vulgaris (sugar beet)
Lineage: Eukaryota; Viridiplantae; Streptophyta; Magnoliopsida; Caryophyllales; Amaranthaceae
Exons: 3
Source: RefSeq, a predicted model, not a curated record